CAUACUCUCUCACACACACAAACAUAUACACACAUUUCCACACACAUCCAGAUUCAACACAGCUAGGUAGAUAUACUGUCUGUCUGGUCUGUAAUUUACUGUGUUAGACCUCAUUAAGUGCUAUAAUAUCAUGGGGAGAUAUACUGUCUGUAGGUCUGUAAUUUACUGUGUUAGACCUCAUUAAGUGCUAUAAUAUCAUGGGGAGAUAUACUGUCUGUAGGUCUGUAAUUUACUUUGUUAGACCUCAUUAAGUGCUAUAAUAUCAUGGGGAGAUAUACUGUCUGUAGGUCUGUAAUUUACUGUGUUAGACCUCAUUAAGUGCUAUAAUAUCAUGGGGAGAUAUACUGUCUGUAGGUCUGUAAUUUACUGUGUUAGACCUCAUUAAGUGCUAUAAUAUCAUGGGGAGAUAUACUGUCUGUAG
Long non-coding RNA from Oncorhynchus keta (chum salmon), 421 nucleotides. RefSeq lists it as uncharacterized. The transcript is spliced from 4 exons. NCBI's taxonomy places the organism in Eukaryota, Metazoa, Chordata, Actinopteri, Salmoniformes, Salmonidae. The record is from RefSeq and is a predicted model, not a curated record.